GACGAACGCUGGCGGCGUGCUUAACACAUGCAGGUCGAAGGGAAGGACCUGAAUUUGUGGGGCUGACGGGUGGCGAAUGGGGGAGGAAUAAGGGAGUCACCUGACCCUGCUUUUUGGAUAAAUUUAAGGAACUGGGGCUUAUACUGGAAAGGCAUCCCAGCUGCAUGGGGGGGGAUGGAAAGUUUCGGCCGUUGGGGAUUGACUUGCGGCUUAUCAGCUUGUUGGGGGGGUAGGGGCUUUCCCAAGCAUUGACGGGUAGCCGGCCUGGGAAGGUGGCCAGCCACAUGAGGACUGAGAGACGGCCCAGACGCCUACAGGGGGCAGCAGUGGGAAAUAUUGCACAAUGGGCGGGAGCCUGAUGCAGCAGCGCCGCGUGCGGGAUGACGGCCUUCGGGUUGUGAACCGCUUUCGCCUGUGACGAAGCGUGAGUGGCGGUAAUGGGUAAAGAAGCACCGGCUAACUACGUG
Molecule: ribosomal RNA, 467 nt
Filed under: uncultured bacterium
Lineage: Bacteria
Description: partial 16S ribosomal RNA
Rfam family: Bacterial small subunit ribosomal RNA
Source: RNAcentral